GGGCCGUUAGCUCAGUUGGUAGAGCAGCUGACUCUUAAUCAGCGGGUCGCAGGUUCGAAUCCUGCACGGCUCAC
RNAcentral lists this transfer RNA (74 nucleotides) under Dissulfurispira thermophila. RNAcentral's name for it is "Nitrospiraceae bacterium T55J tRNA-Lys". It matches the Rfam family "tRNA". From Rfam's summary of the family: Transfer RNA (tRNA) molecules are approximately 80 nucleotides in length. Their secondary structure includes four short double-helical elements and three loops (D, anti-codon, and T loops). The record is from RNAcentral. Lineage: Bacteria; Pseudomonadati; Nitrospirota; Thermodesulfovibrionia; Thermodesulfovibrionales; Dissulfurispiraceae.